UUUAGUUUACAAAAAUUCAUAGUUCCAACAGUCUUAAACACAUCUUCCAUCUAUACACAUUUCCGAAAUGGAAUAAAAACAAAGCUGCAGUUUAAUAAACAACAAACAAGAACGCAAUGGAGAGAAUUGGUGCAUUCAAAAUACAACUGAAAAACAGUGGAACAAGUUUUCGAAGCUAAUUUUUUUAACCACACAAUCGAGAGAAAAAAAUAAUAAAAAUAUACACAAAUUAGAUAUAAGCUUAAAGUGUAACCAAAAUAAAAAAAUCAAAAACCAAAA
This is a long non-coding RNA of Drosophila nasuta, 279 nucleotides long. RefSeq lists it as uncharacterized. The record is from RefSeq and is a predicted model, not a curated record. NCBI's taxonomy places the organism in Eukaryota, Metazoa, Arthropoda, Insecta, Diptera, Drosophilidae. The transcript is spliced from 2 exons.